CGUGUAGGCGGCUUGGUAAGUCAGAUGUGAAAGCUCCGGGCUUAACCCGGAAAGUGCAUUUGAAACUGCCCGGCUUGAAUCCGGGAGAGGAAGGUGGAAUUCCCAGUGUAGAGGUGAAAUUCGUAGAUAUUGGGAGGAACAUCGGUGGCGAAGGCGACCUUCUGGACCGAGAUUGACGCUGAGACGCGAAAGCGUGGGGAGCAAACA
This 207-nucleotide ribosomal RNA is filed under the name uncultured bacterium. Its description in RNAcentral is "partial 16S ribosomal RNA". It matches the Rfam family "Bacterial small subunit ribosomal RNA", at positions 568 to 774 of the family's 1533-position model. The record is from RNAcentral.